Molecule: ribosomal RNA, 250 nt
Filed under: uncultured bacterium
Lineage: Bacteria
Description: partial 16S ribosomal RNA
Rfam family: Bacterial small subunit ribosomal RNA
Source: RNAcentral
UACGGAGGGUGCGAGCGUUAAUCGGAAUCACUGGGCGUAAAGCGCACGUAGGCGGUCGGGUAAGUCAGAUGUGAAAGCCCUCGGCUCAACCGGGGAACUGCAUUUGAUACUGCCUGACUUGAGUCCUGGAGAGGGUGGCGGAAUUCCGGGUGUAGGAGUGAAAUCCGUAGAUAUCCGGAGGAACACCAGUGGCGAAGGCGGCCACCUGGACAGGUACUGACGCUGAGGUGCGAAAGCGUGGGGAGCAAAC